UCCAGACUCCUACGGGAGGCAGCAGUGAGGAAUAUUGGUCAAUGGGCGCGAGCCUGAACCAGCCAAGUCGCGUGAGGGAUGAAGGAUCUAUGGUUCGUAAACCUCUUUUAUAAGGGAAUAAAGUGCGGGACGCGUCCCGCUUCGCAUGUACCUUAUGAAUAAGGAUCGGCUAACUCCGUGCCAGCAGCCGCGGUAAUACGGAGGAUGCGAGCGUUAUCCGGAUUUAUUGGGUUUAAAGGGUGCGUAGGCGGGACCUUAAGUCAGCGGUAAAAUUGCGGUGCUCAACGCCGUAGAGCCGUUGAAACUGGGGUUCUUGAGUGGGCGAGAAGUAUGCGGAAUGCGUGGUGUAGCGGUGAAAUGCAUAGAUAUCACGCAGAACUCCGAUUGCGAAGGCAGCAUACCGGCGCCCAACUGACGCUGAAGCACGAAAGCGUGGGUAUCGAACAGGAUUAGAUACCCCAGUA
Molecule: ribosomal RNA, 464 nt
Filed under: uncultured bacterium
Lineage: Bacteria
Description: bacterial SSU rRNA
Rfam family: Bacterial small subunit ribosomal RNA
Source: RNAcentral